GUCUACAGCCACACCACCCUGAACACGCCCAAUCUCUUCUGAUCUCAGAAGCUAAGCAGGAUCAGGCCUGGUUAGUACUUGGAUGGAGACAUCUGUGUUUCUUCCAAGUUUGGGCU
Molecule: ribosomal RNA, 116 nt
Filed under: Erinaceus europaeus (western European hedgehog)
Lineage: Eukaryota; Metazoa; Chordata; Mammalia; Eulipotyphla; Erinaceidae
Source: RNAcentral